GAAGCUGCGGCAGCGACACUGUGUGUUGUUGGGUAGGGGAGCGUUCUGUAAGCCUGUGAAGGUGGCCUGUGAGGGUUGCUGGAGGUAUCAGAAGUGCGAAUGCUGACAUAAGUAACGAUAAAGCGGGUGAAAAGCCCGCUCGCCGGAAGACCAAGGGUUCCUGUCCAACGUUAAUCGGGGCAGGGUGAGUCGACCCCUAAGGCGAGGCCGAAAGGCGUAGUCGAUGGGAAACGGGUUAAUAUUCCCGUACUUGGUGUUACUGCGAAGGGGGGACGGAGAAGGCUAUGUUGGCCGGGCGACGGUUGUCCCGGUUUAAGCGUGUAGGUGUGUGUUCCAGGUAAAUCCGGUUCACUUUAACACUGAGGCGUGAUGACGAGGCACUACGGUGCUGAAGCAACAAAUGCCCUGCUUCCAGGAAAAGCCUCUAAGCAUCAGGUAACAUCAAAUCGUACCCCAAACCGACACAGGUGGUCAGGUAGAGAAUACCAAGGCGCUUGAGAGAACUCGGGUGAAGGAACUAGGCAAAAUGGUGCCGUAACUUCGGGAGAAGGCACGCUGACAUGUAGGUGAAGUGAUUUACUCAUGGAGCUGAAGUCAGUCGAAGAUACCAGCUGGCUGCAACUGUUUAUUAAAAACACAGCACUGUGCAAACACGAAAGUGGACGUAUACGGUGUGACGCCUGCCCGGUGCCGGAAGGUUAAUUGAUGGGGUCAGCGCAAGCGAAGCUCCUGAUCGAAGCCCCGGUAAACGGCGGCCGUAACUAUAACGGUCCUAAGGUAGCGAAAUUCCUUGUCGGGUAAGUUCCGACCUGCACGAAUGGCGUAAUGAUGGCCAGGCUGUCUCCACCCGAGACUCAGUGAAAUUGAACUCGCUGUGAAGAUGCAGUGUACCCGCGGCAAGACGGAAAGACCCCGUGAACCUUUACUAUAGCUUGACACUGAACAUUGAGCCUUGAUGUGUAG
This 963-nucleotide ribosomal RNA is filed under the name Salmonella enterica subsp. enterica serovar Agona. RNAcentral's name for it is "partial 23S ribosomal RNA". It matches the Rfam family "Bacterial large subunit ribosomal RNA", at positions 1196 to 2141 of the family's 2925-position model. Lineage: Bacteria; Pseudomonadati; Pseudomonadota; Gammaproteobacteria; Enterobacterales; Enterobacteriaceae. The record is from RNAcentral.